This 382-nucleotide unclassified non-coding RNA is filed under the name soil metagenome. Its description in RNAcentral is "partial contains 5.8S ribosomal RNA, internal transcribed spacer 2, and large subunit ribosomal RNA". The stretch from base 1 to 120 matches the Rfam family "5.8S ribosomal RNA", at positions 35 to 154 of the family's 154-position model. The record is from RNAcentral.
GAUGAAGAACGUAGCGAAAUGCGAUAAGUAAUGUGAAUUGCAGAAUUCAGUGAAUCAUCGAAUCUUUGAACGCACCUUGCACCCUUUGGCAUUCCGAAGGGUAUGCUCGUUUGAGUGUCAUUGUACUCUCACACUUCUGAUCCUUUGGAUUGGGAGCGGUGGACUUGGGUGUUGCUGCUUUACUGUGGCUCACCUCAAAUGCAUUCGUGCAACUCUUGGUUGGACAUAGUACGGCGUGAUAAGUAUCUUCGCCGGCACCUCGCAAGAGGGUGGCUGAUCAGGAGCUCUGUGCUUUCCAACUGUCUUCAGACAACAACUUACAACUUGACCUCAAAUCGAGUAGGACCACCCGCUGAACUUAAGCAUAUCAAUAAGCGGAGGA